This 294-nucleotide long non-coding RNA is filed under the name Theropithecus gelada (gelada). RNAcentral describes it as "lncRNA (ENSTGEG00000021671.1)". The record is from RNAcentral. Lineage: Eukaryota; Metazoa; Chordata; Mammalia; Primates; Cercopithecidae.
AUGCCAGUAGGUCCUCAGCAGUACCACCUGAUCGGAAGUGAUAUUGGUGGAAGGCAACACUUUGCCGCUUGGAAUUCUCACCUCCACACCAAAGAAGGACUGUUUUUGUCAUUUGCACCAGCUUCUUUCUCCAGGAAAGAUCAAAACGAUGCACUCCAAGGGAAGCAAGAGAAUGGAUUAAAGAAAACUCCAGAGAAUGAGCUGACAACUUACUCCCUGGUCAGUGGCUCUCCAUGCCUACCUGUGGUUUCUUGGACACCCUUGCAGAAGAUGACUUCCUGGGAACUCUUCUGA